RNAcentral lists this ribosomal RNA (585 nucleotides) under uncultured bacterium. RNAcentral's name for it is "partial 16S ribosomal RNA". It matches the Rfam family "Bacterial small subunit ribosomal RNA", at positions 355 to 1375 of the family's 1533-position model. The record is from RNAcentral.
UGGGGAAUUUUGGACAAUGGGCGAAAGCCUGAUCCAGCAAUGCCGCGUGUGUGAAGAAGGCCUUCGGGUUGUAAAGCACUUUUGUCCGGAAAGAAAUCCUUGGCUCUAAUACAGUCGGGGGAUGACGGUACCGGAAGAAUAAGCACCGGCUAACUACGUGCCAGCAGCCGCGGUAAUACGUAGGGUGCAAGCGUUAAUCGGAAUUACUGGGCGUAAAGCGUGCGCAGGCGGUUUGCUAAGACCGAUGUGAAAUCCCCGGGCUCAACCUGGGAACUGCAUUGGUGACUGGCAGGCUAGAGUAUGGCAGAGGGGGGUAGAAUUCCACGUGUAGCAGUGAAAUGCGUAGAGAUGUGGAGGAAUACCGAUGGCGAAGGCAGCCCCCUGGGCCAAUACUGACGCUUAUGCACGAAAGCGUGGGGAGCAAACAGGAUUAGAUACCCUGGUAGUCCACGCCCUAAACGAUGUCAACUAGUUGUUGGGGAUUCAUUUCCUUAGUAACGUAGCUAACGCGUGAAGUUGACCGCCUGGGGAGUACGGUCGCAAGAUUAAAACUCAAAUGAAUUGACGGGGUCAUAGCUGUUUCCU